UACGGGAGGCAGCAGUGGGGAAUAUUGCACAAUGGGCGAAAGCCUGAUGCAGCUAUGCCGCGUGUAUGAAGAAGGCCUUAGGGUUGUAAAGUACUUUCAUCGGGGAGGAAAAAACAAAACUAAUAAUUUUAUUUCUUGACGUUACCCGAAAAAGAAGCACCGGCUAACUCCGUGCCAGCAGCCGCGGUAAUACGGAGGGUGCUAGCGUUAAUCAGAAUUACUGGGCGUAAAGAGCACGUAGGUGGUUUUUUAAGUCAGAUGUGAAAUCCCUGGGCUUAACCUAGGAACUGCAUUUUGAAACUGAAAUACUAGAGUAUCGUAGAGGGAGGUAGAAUUCUAGGUGUAGCGGUGAAAUGCGUAGAUAUCUGGAGGAAUACCUGUGGCGAAAGCGGCCUCCUAAACGAAUACUGACACUGAGGGUGCGAAAGCGUGGGGAGCAAAACAGGGAUUAGAUACC
This 457-nucleotide ribosomal RNA is filed under the name uncultured bacterium. Its description in RNAcentral is "bacterial SSU rRNA". It matches the Rfam family "Bacterial small subunit ribosomal RNA", at positions 340 to 786 of the family's 1533-position model. The record is from RNAcentral.